RNAcentral lists this ribosomal RNA (407 nucleotides) under uncultured bacterium. Its description in RNAcentral is "partial 16S ribosomal RNA". It matches the Rfam family "Bacterial small subunit ribosomal RNA", at positions 29 to 526 of the family's 1533-position model. The record is from RNAcentral.
AUUGAACGCUGGCGGUAGGCCUAACACAUGCAAGUCGAGCGGAGCGGCGGACGGGUGAGUAAUGCCUAGUAAUCUGCCUGGUAGUGGGGGAUAACGUCCGGAAACGGGCGCUAAUACUGCAUCCUAUCAGCUGAGCCUAGGUCGGAUUAGCUAGUAGGUGGGGUAAAGGACUACCAAGGCGACGAUCCGGAACUGGUCUGAGAGGAUGAUCAGUCACACUGGAACUGAGACACGGACCAGACUCCUACGGGAGGCAGCAGGGGGGAAGAUUGGACAAUGGGAGAAAGCCGGAUCAAGCCAUGCCGCGUGUGUGAAGAAGGUCUUUGGGUGGUAAAGCACUGUAAGUUGGGAGGCGUUACCAACAGAAUAAGCACCGGCUAACUACGUGCCAGCAGCCGCGGUAAUAC